GAUGAAGAACGCAGCGAAAUGCGAUAAGUAAUGUGAAUUGCAGAAUUCAGUGAAUCAUCGAAUCUUUGAACGCACAUUGCGCCCGUCAGUAUUCUGGCGGGCAUGCCUGUUCGAGCGUCAUUACGCCCCUCAAGUCCCCUGUGGACUUGGUGUUGGGGAUCGGCGAGGCUGGUUUUCCAGCACAGCCGUCCCUUAAAUUAAUUGGCGGUCUCGCCGUGGCCCUCCUCUGCGCAGUAGUAAAACACUCGCAACAGGAGCCCGGCGCGGUCCACUGCCGUAAAACCCCCCAACUUUUUAUAGUUGACCUCGAAUCAGGUAGGACUACCCGCUGAACUUAAGCAUAUCAAUAAGCGGAGG
RNAcentral lists this unclassified non-coding RNA (357 nucleotides) under soil metagenome. RNAcentral describes it as "partial contains 5.8S ribosomal RNA, internal transcribed spacer 2, and large subunit ribosomal RNA". The stretch from base 1 to 120 matches the Rfam family "5.8S ribosomal RNA", at positions 35 to 154 of the family's 154-position model. The record is from RNAcentral.